UUUGGACUGGCCUGGAAACGGGGUCUAAUACCGGAUACGACACGGGGUCGCAUGACCUCCGUGUGGAAAGCUCCGGCGGUGAAGGAUGAGCCCGCGGCCUAUCAGCUUGUUGGUGGGGUGAUGGCCUACCAAGGCGACGACGGGUAGCCGGCCUGAGAGGGCGACCGGCCACACUGGGACUGAGACACGGCCCAGACUCCUACGGGAGGCAGCAGUGGGGAAUAUUGCACAAUGGGCGAAAGCCUGAUGCAGCGACGCCGCGUGAGGGAUGACGGCCUUCGGGUUGUAAACCUCUUUCAGCAGGGAAGAAGCGAGAGUGACGGUACCUGCAGAAGAAGCGCCGGCUAACUACGUGCCAGCAGCCGCGGUAAUACGUAGGGCGCAAGCGUUGUCCGGAAUUAUUGGGCGUAAAGAGCUCGUAGGCGGCUUGUCGCGUCGGAUGUGAAAGCCCGGGGCUUAACCCCGGGUCUGCAUUCGAUACGGGCAGGCUA
RNAcentral lists this ribosomal RNA (491 nucleotides) under Streptomyces sp. Its description in RNAcentral is "bacterial SSU rRNA". It matches the Rfam family "Bacterial small subunit ribosomal RNA", at positions 137 to 643 of the family's 1533-position model. Lineage: Bacteria; Bacillati; Actinomycetota; Actinomycetes; Kitasatosporales; Streptomycetaceae. The record is from RNAcentral.